UCCUGACCGUGCAAAGGUAGCAUAAUCAUUUGCCUAUUAAUUGUAGGCUAGUAUGAAUGGACAAACGCGAACUAUACUGUCUCCUUUAGGAUAUUAAAAAUUUAUAUUUAAGUGAAGAAGCUUAAAUACACUCGCAGGACAAGAAGACCCUAUAGAGCUUUACCAUAAACCUUAUCAUAAAUAAGCUAAUUGGUUCGGUUGGGGCGACCAAGGAACAUCAAUCAUCCUUAAUUAUUAAGAUUAACCAAUCACAAAAAAGAUCCUCUAUGGAGAUCACAGAAUCAAGCUACCUUAGGGAUAACAGGCUAAUUCCUCUAGAGAGCCCUUAUUGACAGAGGAGGUUGGCACCUCGAUGUUGGCUUAGGAUAUCUUU
This 373-nucleotide ribosomal RNA is filed under the name Limnodrilus hoffmeisteri. RNAcentral describes it as "partial 16S Ribosomal RNA". It matches the Rfam family "Bacterial large subunit ribosomal RNA", at positions 1940 to 2549 of the family's 2925-position model. The record is from RNAcentral. Lineage: Eukaryota; Metazoa; Annelida; Clitellata; Tubificida; Naididae.